RNAcentral lists this ribosomal RNA (417 nucleotides) under Fusarium oxysporum. RNAcentral describes it as "eukaryotic LSU rRNA". The stretch from base 50 to 203 matches the Rfam family "5.8S ribosomal RNA". The record is from RNAcentral. Lineage: Eukaryota; Fungi; Ascomycota; Sordariomycetes; Hypocreales; Nectriaceae.
AAACUCUGUUUCUAUAUGUAGCUUCUGAGUAAAACCAUAAAUAAAUCAAAACUUUCAACAACGGAUCUCUUGGUUCUGGCAUCGAUGAAGAACGCAGCAAAAUGCGAUAAGUAAUGUGAAUUGCAGAAUUCAGUGAAUCAUCGAAUCUUUGAACGCACAUUGCGCCCGCCAGUAUUCUGGCGGGCAUGCCUGUUCGAGCGUCAUUUCAACCCUCAAGCACAGCUUGGUGUUGGGACUCGCGUUAAUUCGCGUUCCUCAAAUUGAUUGGCGGUCACGUCGAGCUUCCAUAGCGUAGUAGUAAAACCCUCGUUACUGGUAAUCGUCGCGGCCACGCCGUUAAACCCCAACUUCUGAAUGUUGACCUCGGAUCAGGUAGGAAUACCCGCUGAACUUAAGCAUAUCAAUAAGGCGGAGGAA